RNAcentral lists this ribosomal RNA (649 nucleotides) under uncultured fungus. RNAcentral describes it as "eukaryotic LSU rRNA". The stretch from base 239 to 392 matches the Rfam family "5.8S ribosomal RNA". Lineage: Eukaryota; Fungi. The record is from RNAcentral.
UGAAUAAACCUGAUGUGACUGUUAGCUGGCUUUUCGAAGCAUGUGCUCGUCCGUCAUCUUUAUCUCUCCACCUGUGCACAUUUUGUAGUUUUGGAUACCUCUCGAGGAAACUCGGAUUUUAGGAUCGCCGUGCUGUACAAGUCGGCUUUUCUUUCAUUUCCAAGACUAUGUUUUUAUAUACACCAAAGUAUGUUUAUAGAAUGUCAUCAAUAGGAACUUGUUUCCUAUAAAAUUAUACAACUUUCAGCAACGGAUCUCUUGGCUCUCGCAUCGAUGAAGAACGCAGCGAAAUGCGAUAAGUAAUGUGAAUUGCAGAAUUCAGUGAAUCAUCGAAUCUUUGAACGCACCUUGCGCUCCUUGGUAUUCCGAGGAGCAUGCCUGUUUGAGUGUCAUUAAAUUCUCAACCUUCCAACUUUUAUUAGUUUGGUUAGGCUUGGAUGUGGGGGUUGCGGGCUUCAUCACUGAGGUCGGCUCUCCUUAAAUGCAUUAGCGGAACUUUUGUGGACCGUCUAUUGGUGUGAUAAUUAUCUACGCCGUGGAUGUGAAACAGCUUUAUGAAGUUCUGCUUCUAACCGUCCAUUGACUUGGACAAUUUUGAUAAUUUGACCUCAAAUCAGGUAGGACUACCCGCUGAACUUAAGCAUAUCAU